GAUGAACGCUGGCGGCGUGCCUAAUACAUGCAAGUCGAGCGAACGGACGAGAAGCUUGCUGCUCUGAUGUUAGCGGCGGACGGGUGAGUAACACGUGGAUAACCUACCUAUAAGACUGGGAUAACUUCGGGAAACCGGAGCUAAUACCGGAUGAUAUUUUGAACCGCAUGGUUCAAAAGUGAAAGACGGUCUUGCUGUCACUUAUAGCUGGAUCCGCGCUGCAUUAGCUAGUUGGUAAGGUAACGGCUUACCAAGGCAACGAUGCCUAGCCGACCUGAGAGGGUGAUCGGCCACACUGGAACUGAGACACGGUCCAGACUCCUACGGGAGGCACCAGUAGGGAAUCUUCCGCAAUGGGCGGAAGCCUGACCGAGCAACGCCGCGUGAGUGAUGAAGGUCUUCGGAUCGUAAAACUCUGUUAUUAGGGAAGACCAUAUGUGUAAGUAACUGUGCACAUCUUGACGGUACCUAAUCAGAAAGCCACGGCUAACUACGUG
This 497-nucleotide ribosomal RNA is filed under the name uncultured bacterium. Its description in RNAcentral is "partial 16S ribosomal RNA". It matches the Rfam family "Bacterial small subunit ribosomal RNA", at positions 28 to 507 of the family's 1533-position model. The record is from RNAcentral.